UAUUUAUGGAACAUACGGAGAAAAUUGUCGAAAUAACUGUAGUGGAAACUGUGCAAAGCAGGAGUAUUGCAACAAAGAAAGCGGGGACUGCGAGGACGGAUGUGCACCGGGUUAUAAAGGCACUAAAUGUGAAAAAGAAUGUGAUUUUGGUAUAUAUGGCGCAAAUUGUGUAAAACUGUGCAGUGGAAAUUGCCUUGAAAAUAAAACCUGUAAUAAGGUUAAUGGAGAAUGUAUAGAUGGAUGUAGAGUGGGUUAUAAGGGAUCUUUGUGUUAUGAAACUUGCGAACUUGGUACAUUUGGAC
Saccostrea echinata is the source of this 302-nucleotide long non-coding RNA. RefSeq lists it as uncharacterized. The record is from RefSeq and is a predicted model, not a curated record. NCBI's taxonomy places the organism in Eukaryota, Metazoa, Mollusca, Bivalvia, Ostreida, Ostreidae. The transcript is spliced from 3 exons.